RNAcentral lists this long non-coding RNA (667 nucleotides) under Ananas comosus (pineapple). Its description in RNAcentral is "long non-coding RNA (ACOM_LNC012793)". Lineage: Eukaryota; Viridiplantae; Streptophyta; Magnoliopsida; Poales; Bromeliaceae. The record is from RNAcentral.
UUUUAUGAAAAACGCUUCAAAUCAUCUAUAAUAGGAACCAGGAUGGAAUACUAUCAACAUCACUAAGCUAUUGGUGCUAUUGAUUUUUUAAUCCUUGGAUUGAGAAAUGGAUGGUUAAAAUGAUAUGAGCUCUCUAGAGUUGAGUGAGUGGUUGGUUGAAUAGUAUAAUUUAACUGGUAAAAAUAAUCAAAGGAUUAAAUCUAACAGUAGAAAACUCGUUAGCACUAAAUUCUUGGUGCUAUAUCAAUAGUACCCGAGCCGGACUCCUAUAAUAAUAUUAUAUUAUUCUUCUAUAUUAUUAAUAUAUAUAUUACUUAUCUUAUAUAUUAUUUUUAAACUAGAUGUACUAAUAUAUCAUCAACAUAUAUAUAUAUAUAUACGGGCAAAAUUGUGCAGGAUCUACAGCAAUACUCUUCUUAUGAACUAGGCUGGAAUACUAUUAAUAGCACCAAUGACUUGGUGCUAUUAAGUUUUCUGCCCUUGGAUUAAAAGAUGUGCGGUUAGGAUGAUGUGGGCCCUCUAGAGUUGAGUGAGUGGUUGGUUGAAUAGUAUAAUUUAACGGAUAAAAAUAAUCAAAGGGUUAAUCUAACGGCAGAAAACUUGAUAGCACCAAGUGCUUGGUGCUAUCGAUAGCACAGCAGCCGGACUCCUCUUCUUUUAUAUAUAU